GUAAAUAUAGUUUAAUAAAAACAUUAGAUUGUGAAUCUAACGAUAAAAGUUCAAACCCUUUUAUUUACC
Molecule: transfer RNA, 69 nt
Filed under: Melogale moschata (Chinese ferret-badger)
Lineage: Eukaryota; Metazoa; Chordata; Mammalia; Carnivora; Mustelidae
Also listed under: 1 other name
Description: tRNA-His
Rfam family: tRNA
About the family: Transfer RNA (tRNA) molecules are approximately 80 nucleotides in length. Their secondary structure includes four short double-helical elements and three loops (D, anti-codon, and T loops).
Source: RNAcentral